Molecule: ribosomal RNA, 376 nt
Filed under: uncultured bacterium
Lineage: Bacteria
Description: bacterial SSU rRNA
Rfam family: Bacterial small subunit ribosomal RNA
Source: RNAcentral
UACGGAGGAUGCGAGCGUUAUCCGGAUUUACUGGGCGUAAAGGAUGUGUAGGCGGAUACUUAAGUGAGAUGUGAAAGCCCCGGGCUCAACCUGGGGACUGCAUUUCAAACUGGGUAUCUAGAGUGCAGGAGAGGAAAGCGGAAUUCCUAGUGUAGCGGUGAAAUGCGUAGAGAUUAGGAAGAACAUCAGUGGCGAAGGCGGCUUUCUGGACUGUAACUGACGCUGAGGCAUGAAAGCGUGGGGAGCAAACAGGAUUAGAUACCCUGGUAGUCCACGCCGUAAACGAUGAGUACUAGGUGUAGGAGGUAUCGACUCCUUCUGUGCCGCAGUUAACACAAUAAGUACUCCGCCUGGGAAGUACGGUCGCAAGAUUAAA